UGUCGGUACUGUAAGAAUAAGGAUCGGCUAACUCCGUGCCAGCAGCCGCGGUAAUACGGAGGAUCCAAGCGUUAUCCGGAAUCAUUGGGUUUAAAGGGUCCGUAGGCGGUUUAAUAAGUCAGUGGUGAAAUCUGGUCGCUCAACGAUCAAACGGCCAUUGAUACUGUUAGACUUGAAUUAUUGGGAAGUAACUAGAAUAUGUAGUGUAGCGGUGAAAUGCUUAGAUAUUACAUGGAAUACCAAUUGCGAAGGCAGGUUACUACCAAUGGAUUGACGCUGAUGGACGAAAGCGUGGGGAGCGAACAGGAUUAGAUACCCUGGUAGUCCACGCCGUAAACGAUGGAUACUAGCUGUUGGGCGCAAGUUCAGUGGCUAAGCGAAAGUGAUAAGUAUCCCACCUGGGGAGUACGUUCGCAAGAAUGAAACUCAAAGGAAUUGACGG
Molecule: ribosomal RNA, 442 nt
Filed under: uncultured bacterium
Lineage: Bacteria
Description: bacterial SSU rRNA
Rfam family: Bacterial small subunit ribosomal RNA
Source: RNAcentral